GCAAGUCCAAAUUCUUCAGUUUACUGAAAACUUCCUCUGCUUUCUUCACAUUGUUCUGACCAACACAGUUCAACAAUAAAGUUCGAUACAUCAUCUCUCUGCUACAAGAUUCUGGAAUAGUCUCAAGCAAAGCUGAGACAGGUUGUGGACGUCGAUGAGGUGUUUCAGCAAACUCAUAUACGAAAGAAAUAUGACUAGUUUGUUGAUGAGAGGUCUCAAAGGACACAUGAAGAAUUUUCCAAUAGACUCUCACAUGUCAGAUCAGAGCAAAGAUCAUGGCCUCUUGAUGAUGCAUCACAAGCAAAUAUCGAUGACGAUGACAUCAUUAGGGCACAAUGUUGAGUGGAUGUCAUCGGUGAAAAAAAUAAAGGAUGAGUAUAUGAGGUAGGAAAACUUGCUGCCCAUUACACUGUUGGAAGAAGUACAUUGAAACACCAACCAUCUACAUCCAAUAGUGUUGAUCAAGGUUAUGAUGAGUUGAGACAACAAUUACAAGGUUGUGGUGACCAAGCUUAUGAUGAUCUUAAACAACGAUUUGAGAGUCUCCAAAAUUUGGUCACGAGGUUCUUGCCUCCAAACACACAACCUAUGGUCCAAUAGCCUCUGUCCAUCCUAACAUCGUCCCAACAACGACGCUCCCCAUACAACCCACCCAAGUCUAGCUACCUCCCCAAUAGUAACAGGAUGAAGAAGAAAAAGGAAAUAAUUCUAAUAACUAUGAUGAUUAUUAAAUACUUUGUUAGUUUAUUUACAUAUUUAGUUUAAAAACACUUUUAUGUUUGUGUUAUGGACAUUAUAUUAUGUUUUUAAUGAUAUGGACUU
This is a long non-coding RNA of Vigna angularis (adzuki bean), 822 nucleotides long. RefSeq lists it as uncharacterized. The record is from RefSeq and is a predicted model, not a curated record. NCBI's taxonomy places the organism in Eukaryota, Viridiplantae, Streptophyta, Magnoliopsida, Fabales, Fabaceae. The transcript is spliced from 3 exons.